CUGCCAGUAGUCAUAUGCUCCGUUCAAGGGCUAAGCCAUGCAUGUCUCAGUGUACAUGGAUUGAGAGUGGGUCUGUGAAUGGCUCCUUACAUCAGCAGUCAUCUCUGUGAUAGAGUGUGGAUGAUGCCAGACUUCCCAGGCAUCCAAUGGACAUCCUCCAAAACCUGGUGGCUAAUACACGGAAGCAACAGUCCCCUGUGUCAUAAUGGCCUUUGGAAUGCCCCUCCCUGCUGACAAGGGCCAGCAGUGGAUUGCAGCCAGCCGUCUGGAAGACCAAGCGCCUGGCCAAAGGCAGUAUGCACUGUGGUUGACUCAGGCUGAUCCCCCCUGUGGACACCUGCUCUGGCAGCAUCUUGAAUGUGAGGCAUACCACCUCACUGCUAGCUUGAUCACAAGAACUUCUGACCUAUCAGCCUUGACUGUGGUGUAGUGGACCACAGUGGCUAUAACGGGUAACGGAGAAUCUGGGUUUGAUUCCGGAGAGGGAGCCUGAGAGACGGCUACCACUACCAAGGUGGGCAGCAGGCGCGCAAAUUGCCCAAUACAGACACAUCCUGUGAGGCAGCAACGAACCGCAACAAUCUUGCCAGGCUCUUUCUCAUCAAAGCCAGCGGGAUCUGUAAUGGAUGCUAUCCAAAUCCAGUGAUGAGUACCAACUGGAGGGCAAGUCUGGUGCCAGCAGCUGCGGUAAUUCCAGCUCCAAGGGCGUAUACUAACAUUGCUGCUGUUAAAACACUUGUAGUCUGCCACUGGGCUGCAGGUCUGCUGGGGGCCAGUUGUGCCUGUCCAUGUCCCCCAAAGGGCCAUGCGGGUGCACUGGGCCAAAACCCCUGGCAGUAUGCUCCUGCACCCACAUUACAUCAAGGAUGGUGAGACCUGCUCCUGCAAGGAGUCCUCUUCAGUGGGGUCCCCAAGCAGCAACACACCCAAAGCUUGUCAAGGCUCUCAGGGACACAGUUCACUGUGCAAUACCCCAGUCUGCUACCGGAGUCCACCAUUGAAGUCACCGUGGAAAACUCAGUGUGCUCAAAGCAUCCACAUGGCUGGAUGCCCAUCCAUGGAAUGACAAAGCACCGCCCAGAUGGGCUAUGGAGUUGUGCUGGCCUUGGAGCCCAUUCAGGACAAUCUGAUGCUGUGAGUAUGGUGAUGAUUUGGUCUGGUGUCACAGAGGAACGUGGACCAACCAUUGUAUCCCUUGGCAGUCUUACCUUCACCCAUGCUAUGCAUGCCAUUAACUGGAGAUGAUGGGACCAUUCAAGGUGGAAGAUAUUGCAGCGCCAGAGGUGAAAUUCUUAGACCGCCGCAAGAUUCACAGCGGCGAAGGCGUUCUACAGGGCUGAGUCCGUCGAUCAAGAAUGAGAGCCUGGGGAGCAAAGGUGAUUAGACACCUCCGUAGUCCAGAGCUGUAAACCAUGCCGGCUGGGUGAUGAUGGGUGAUGCAUUGCAGCCCCACCACCACCAAUUGCCAUAUCCCCCUGCAACGAGAAAUCCAAGCCCUUGGGUUCAGGGGGGAGUACUGCUGCAAGGCUGAAACUUAAAGGAAUUGACGGAAUGGCACCACAAGGCGUGGAAUAUGCGGCUUAAUUUGACUCAACACGGGGAAGGUUACCAGGUCAGGACAUGUCAGGGAUGGACAGAUUGAGAGCUCUUUCUUGAUGGCUUGGAUGGUGGUGCAUGGCCGCUCCUGAUUGGUGGAGUGAUUUGUCUGGUUGAUUCCGUUAACGAGUGAGACAUCUACCUCCCACUAGCCCCUGCCUCGUAAUUCAUGUAGAGUGGAUGGUACCCCUGCCAGAGGGGUCAAAUCCUCUGGUGGGCCUUCCAGUGGGUUUCUCCCUAGGGAAUAUGACUCAGUGUGCCAAUAUCCCUCGAGAUGCAGGGUUAACAAGCUUCUCUGAGGUGCUGAGCGUCAUUCCAAACAGCGCUAGCAUGCGAGAUACAACAGCAGGUCUGUGAUGCUCCCAGAUGUCCUGGGCCGCACGCGCAUUACAUUGACACAGCCAGGGUGUUGAUCCAAUAGAGCUACUUAGCUCUGGAUUGCCUUGAAGAGGGUGAGAAACCAUGCCAGUCUGUGUUGUCCUGGGGAUAGAUGAUUGCAACUGUCUGCCUUGAACGAGGAAUGCCUUGUAAGGGUGUGUCAUCAGCGCACCCUGAAUGCGUCCCUGCCAUUUGUACACACCGCCCGUCGUUGCUACCGAUGAUGAUCGGGCAGAGCCAUCCAGAGGUGCCACAUCCUCAAGCCUUGAUGUGAACCAAAAUUGGGCAAUGUCAAGUCAUUAGAGGAAGCAAAAGUC
RNAcentral lists this ribosomal RNA (2291 nucleotides) under Monomorphina pyrum. Its description in RNAcentral is "SSU rRNA". It matches the Rfam family "Eukaryotic small subunit ribosomal RNA". The record is from RNAcentral. Lineage: Eukaryota; Euglenozoa; Euglenophyceae; Euglenales; Euglenaceae.